Long non-coding RNA from Myotis davidii, 386 nucleotides. RefSeq lists it as uncharacterized. The transcript is spliced from 3 exons. Lineage: Eukaryota; Metazoa; Chordata; Mammalia; Chiroptera; Vespertilionidae. The record is from RefSeq and is a predicted model, not a curated record.
UGGAGCAUCACAGGAAAGGACAGCAAGAACUUUCCUGAGCAGCUGCACAUGGGAGAACUGAGGAGCAGUUAUCCAACCAGGGGGUCUCAUGGGUCAAUGAAACGAUACAUACCCUAUGCAGACAACAUCUUCUUGUAUAUUUUAUAGCAUCUAUCUACACGGAGCGAUUCAUGGGUCUCCCGACAAAGGAUGAUAAUCUGGAGCACUAUAAAAAUUCAACUGUGAUGGCAAGAGCAGAAUAUUUCAGAAAUGUAGACUAUCUUCUCAUCCACGGAACAGCAGAUGAUAAUGUGCACUUUCAAAACUCAGCACAGAUUGCUAAAGCUCUGGUUAAUGCACAAGUGGAUUUCCAGGCAAUGGUACCUAAUUUCCUUUCACUCAUGUUC